AGUAGGGUAAGCUAAAAAAGCUAUUGGGCCCAUACCCCAAAUAUGUGGGUUAAACUCCCACCCCUCCUA
Molecule: transfer RNA, 69 nt
Filed under: Citharichthys stigmaeus (speckled sanddab)
Lineage: Eukaryota; Metazoa; Chordata; Actinopteri; Pleuronectiformes; Cyclopsettidae
Also listed under: 1 other name
Description: tRNA-Met
Rfam family: tRNA
About the family: Transfer RNA (tRNA) molecules are approximately 80 nucleotides in length. Their secondary structure includes four short double-helical elements and three loops (D, anti-codon, and T loops).
Source: RNAcentral